This 122-nucleotide non-coding RNA is filed under the name Candidatus Jettenia caeni. Its description in RNAcentral is "planctomycete KSU-1 c-di-GMP-I riboswitch aptamer". It matches the Rfam family "c-di-GMP-I riboswitch aptamer". Rfam says of the family: GEMM was predicted in a large-scale screen for bacterial structured RNA regulatory elements. Genes associated with GEMM are involved in a diverse array of functions, including chemotaxis regulation, signal transduction, secretion and chitin. RNAcentral also lists the same sequence under 1 other name. Lineage: Bacteria; Pseudomonadati; Planctomycetota; Candidatus Brocadiia; Candidatus Brocadiales; Candidatus Brocadiaceae. The record is from Rfam by way of RNAcentral.
AAACGACAAAGGCAAACCCUGAGUGAUCAGGGGACGCAAAGUAAAGGAUCUUUAAUCAUACUGGUAGAGGCGUAUCAUGAUACGCCUCUACCAGUAUGAUUAAAGAUAGCCCUACCACCGAA